This 153-nucleotide small nuclear RNA is filed under the name Macaca nemestrina (pig-tailed macaque). RNAcentral describes it as "U1 spliceosomal RNA (ENSMNEG00000011567.1)". It matches the Rfam family "U1 spliceosomal RNA". Rfam says of the family: U1 is a small nuclear RNA (snRNA) component of the spliceosome (involved in pre-mRNA splicing). Lineage: Eukaryota; Metazoa; Chordata; Mammalia; Primates; Cercopithecidae. The record is from Rfam by way of RNAcentral.
AUACUUACCUGGCAGGGAGACCAUGAUCACGAAAGGUGGUUCCAGGGCGAGUUAUCCAUUGCACUCCGGAGUGCCUGACCUGCGAUUCCCCAAAUGUGGGAAACUCGACUGCAUAAUUUGUGGUAGUGGGGGACUGCUUCGCGCUCACCCUGC